UGCACCCACUAACUACUCCUCCGAAAAAGUAGCUUUGUGGGUGGGAGGAGGUGAGGGAUAUGAUACUGAAGAAAGAGUGUCAGAAAGGAGAGGUCAAGAUAGUGGAGCUGUCUUAUUUAAACCUCGGAGGGUGGGUUCUUACGCCGCCGCCGCCGCCGCCACAGACAUCCCCCUCCCUCUUCUCCACACACACUUCUUUCACUUCCUUGGCAAACUGGCAGGGAAAAGUCUCCGGGGAGCUCCGACUGACUUUUUUGCUGAAACCCCAAGGAGGUUGCAGAAGUGUCGGCUAGAGGAGAAGAGGAGGAUCAAGGUGAGAGAGAAUUACUCAAUUGUCACUGGCCUAACCAAACUCACAGCUCCGCUGGACACUGAUGCUCAAAGUAUCUUGCCUCUGCUAAAGGAACAGUUCCUGUCAACCGUGAAACCGGUUGGGCAAGCAAGUGGGUUAGGAAUUUAAUGCUUGGGAAUUCAUUCUUUAAUGCAGAAAAUCUAGGGUGAGUACAGGUUCCUGAAAUCCUUACUAAAUUCUGCUGGGGAAACUUUGAGAGACUCCCCUUAUCCUAGGUAUACAUUUACCACCACUAUCUCUGAAGCCUUGUUAGUAACUGACUAUCCUUUUCCCUUAAUCUCAAAAGCAGGCCCAGAAAGAUUCUUUGGACCCGGAUGUUCUGUAACUAUUUCUAAUGUCUAAUGUCUAAGCAGAGCAGCCAGCUACAACAGAUAACAUCGUUUUCACCUGGACAAUGUCAAGUUCAUUGAUUUAAUAAAAAAUGAGGUCCUAGUGAGAGAUGGGGAAUGGCAAGCAUCAAGUAAACUUUAGAGGGCUUCAAGCACAUCCUCUGGCUCGGUGGGCAGUCAUUUGACCCUUCUGAACAUCUUUCUUUCUUUCAUCUAUAUUUCCCUGAGGGAACCAGUCUGACUCUUAGAUGGUGAAUAUUUAUUGUGAUGAAUGAGGAUAUCUCUGAAGAACAUCAGUCCUACACUCCUGCUCAAAUCCUAUUUAGUUCCUGAAUCACUUUCACAGCAGUGCUCAGAUUCAUUGGGUAAUGGGGUCAUGAAAGGUCAAUUCAGCAAACUAAUAUAAGCUGCAAACCAUACCAUUUAAAUUUUUUUUUGUUUUUUUAGAAAACAGAGAGCAACUGAUCAAUACUUUACUUGUGAUUCAAAAACUCAAUUACUAAUUUGAAAAAGUUAAAAAAUAUAGGCUAUAUCAUAUAUGUAUCUUUCCUCAUUAAAUUGAUAUAAAAUUA
Molecule: long non-coding RNA, 1253 nt
Organism: Antechinus flavipes (yellow-footed antechinus)
Lineage: Eukaryota; Metazoa; Chordata; Mammalia; Dasyuromorphia; Dasyuridae
Exons: 2
Source: RefSeq, a predicted model, not a curated record